AACAUACAUGAACCAACUUGAGGGAGAGUGUUGGAAUCCCGUGUUUCAUUCCUCCUAUAGGAGUGUUUCAUUCACUGUAGAAUUUGUAUGUAAUUGUAAUUACUUUCUUUCUUUUAUGAUAGUCUUCUAGUCUAUCUAGAUUUCCUAUUAGAUCUAAAAUCAUUGUAUAUAAAUAGGAGGAAGAGUACAAAGUUUAUAUAUAGAGGAACAGCUUAGUCGCUAAAGUUGGGAUUUAAUUUUAGAUUGGCGUUGAUUGUCAAAGUCACUCGACCUUGGCUUGCGACUGCGGCCACCAUUCUUGGCUGGAUUGAUAGAACGGCUUCAUGUCUUCCAUUACCAGAAUGGUCCAAUGUUGCAUUCUUCCAUCCUUCUAAACUUAAUUGGCGCUACAAGCUCCACAGGUUAACCCCUGCAGCUCCCAAUCCCUUAGAGCUAAAAGAAGCCUGAAGAAGAAACAAGAAGCCAAACUAGGAGUAGGAGCAGGAGCUAUCUUCCGGAGAUGACUGACAUGGAAUAUGCGUAUGAAGUGGUAGGAUUGGUGCCAUCUAAUUGAUCUGUUGGCAAUGCAGCAAUAGUUGCCCUCUUAUGGCCAUCAGGUGCAUCGUCAUCAAUUGACAUCAAAUCUAUAACAAUCAUUUGGGUAUCAGGGGGCUCCUCCACAGCCACCCGGUCUUCAAGCAUUUCCACCACAUGAGCCAUGGUAGGCCUAAGCCUAGCCUUCUCUUGUAUGCACCAGAAAGCUAUAUGAACCAAUCUCUUUACUUCCCUCUCAUCAAUAUCUCCAUUUUCUACUAGCCUAUGAUCAACCACUUCCAUAAGCUUUCCUUCCCUCAUUUUCUGAUUGACAAUUUUGGGAAAGUACUGCCAUGUCCUCUGAGCCCUGUCAUUGCCCUUUUCUAACAAGCAAACAUUUCUCUGGCCUCCAAUCAUCUCCAGAAGCACCAUUCCAAAACUAUAGACAUCAGACUUCUCAGAAACACCAUGCUCCAAGAGCCAUUCUGGGGCUAAGUAACCUCUUGUCCCGCGGAUAUUUGUGAUGACUCUACUCUGAUCUUUUCCCAUUAACUUCGAAAAACCAAAAUCUGCAACAAUUGCUCGAUAAUUUUCAUCAAGAAGUAUAUUCUCUGGCUUGAGAUCAAGGUGCAAGACUCUUGACCGGCAAUCGUGAUGAAGGUAAGAAAGUGCCUUGGCCACAUCAAGGGCAACUCUAUACCUUGAUUCCCAUGACAAGCACCCUCGAGGGACAUUCCGGGUUCCCUUCUUGGGGAAAAUCCAGCAGUCCAAUGACCCAUUUGGGAUGAAAUCAUAAACAAGGAAACGAGGCCCUCCUGCCACAAUACAAUAUCCAAGAAGACGCACCAGAUUCACAUGCUGAACACUAGCAAUUGCUGCAACUUCCGAUCGAAAUUCCUUCUCUCCACGCUCCUCUUUCUCAAUUCGCUUCACAGCAAUGGCAGUUCCAUCGGUUAAAAUCCCUUUGAAAACCGAAGCCGACGCCCCUUGGCCAAGCAAUGACCGAAAAUUAUCAGUUGCUUCCUCAAGUUCCUUGAAUCGAAACUUUAUAGGAAGUCCAGCAACUUUUCUCAGGAAACUAUACUCAAUGCGAAGCUCUCUGCCUUCAGAAACUAAUUGAGUCACCAUCAACCUACUUCUGCGAUUAUAACGCCGUCUGAUCAUGAGACAUGCGAAGACCGCAAGGAUCACUGCAACAUCGGCCCCUGCAAUAAGGUAGAAAGCCUUAGAGAGCUUAAGUGAGAUGCGAGCUAUAACGAUGACGACGAUGAGAAUGAUAACGGUUGAAACAGCGAUUAUGUUAGCUUUCUUGUCCUCCAUUAGAGUAGUAGUUCCAAGGGAAGAUGGAGGUAGCGAAGAAUCUAUACUCUGAUUCACAUGUUCUUCUCUUGCUCAAUGGAUCAUUUUCGUAGAACGCGCAGAGGAGUAUGUGACUGAAAAUUCCUAUACGAUGGCGAGAAACAUUUCCUCCUCU
This 1987-nucleotide unclassified non-coding RNA is filed under the name Hevea brasiliensis (rubber tree). The record is from RNAcentral. Lineage: Eukaryota; Viridiplantae; Streptophyta; Magnoliopsida; Malpighiales; Euphorbiaceae.